This 301-nucleotide ribosomal RNA is filed under the name uncultured bacterium. RNAcentral's name for it is "partial 16S ribosomal RNA". It matches the Rfam family "Bacterial small subunit ribosomal RNA", at positions 509 to 809 of the family's 1533-position model. The record is from RNAcentral.
CAGUAGCCGCGGUAAUACGUAGGGUGCAAGCGUUAAUCGGAAUUACUGGGCGUAAAGCGUGCGCAGGCGGUUCGUUAAGACAGAUGUGAAAUCCCCGGGCUUAACCUGGGAACUGCAUUUGUGACUGGCGGGCUAGAGUAUGGCAGAGGGGGGUAGAAUUCCACGUGUAGCAGUGAAAUGCGUAGAGAUGUGGAGGAAUACCGAUGGCGAAGGCAGCCCCCUGGGCCAAUACUGACGCUCAUGCACGAAAGCGUGGGGAGCAAACAGGAUUAGAUACCCGCGUAGUCCCUGUCUCUUAUAA